GAAACCAGAUAACCCAAAAAACAACUGCCGGACCAAUUCUCAGGAGAAUGAAAUGAGAAAAUUAGAGCAUAUUUGCUUCUGUGAAUGUGAAACAUCAAGCUCCAGCAACCUGAUGCCUCACAUUUCCUGCAUUUGCAGUCAUGUGCCGGGUGUGUGUGUUGACAAGCUUGGGAAGGAUUGAAGAAAAAAAAAAGUUUUUUUCUGUAAGGGUGCCUGUCACGGUGAGAGAGAACAUUGUACCAAAACCUGGCGUCACUGUGUGGUACCGUAAAAGCAAAGAAUGCCUUGCAACAGAUUCCUUCUGUUUAAUAAGACUGACAAAAAUGACCUGGUGAGAGACAACUGUUAGCCAUCCUGCUACUGAUGUACAAAUCAAAUUUGUAGAAAUAUUCAAGGACCAACUAGUAGCUGUGCUGUGGAUUGGUUCUAGAGUUCAGAUAUCAAAGGAUGAUGGGUUAUUUUUUUAGGGGUGGUGCUGUUUGUGAAUAUUUUCACAUAUAUAUGUAGGAUAGGUACACGUACUACACUUGGAAAUGCUAAUUGCACUAGUUGUACAUAACAUUUGUCUUCUGAAUAAAUGAGGUGGUGAAAAUAAUUACAAGUCUUCAAAUUGUAUUAGCUCUUCAUAUCUUUAUAUUAAAAUGUGACAUACUUUUCCAAAGAAAAAGAGAAGUUCUGCUUUUCCCACCAGCUGUGAUUCUAUUGCCAGCAGCUAAAUAAAAAUCUAAAAUGGU
Protopterus annectens (West African lungfish) is the source of this 734-nucleotide long non-coding RNA. RefSeq lists it as uncharacterized. Lineage: Eukaryota; Metazoa; Chordata; Ceratodontiformes; Protopteridae. The record is from RefSeq and is a predicted model, not a curated record. The transcript is spliced from 2 exons.